AGACCCGAAACCCGGUGAUCUAGCCAUGGGCAGGUUGAAGGUUGGGUAACACUAACUGGAGGACCGAACCGACUAAUGUUGAAAAAUUAGCGGAUGACCUGUGGCUGGGGGUGAAAGGCCAAUCAAACCGGGAGAUAGCUGGUUCUCCCCGAAAGCUAUUUAGGUAGCGCCUCGUGAAUUCAUCUCCGGGGGUAGAGCACUGUUUCGGCUAGGGGGCCAUCCCGGCUUACCAACCCGAUGCAAACUGCGAAUACCGGAGAAUGUUAUCACGGGAGACACACGGCGGGUGCUAACGUCCGUCGUGAAGAGGGAAACAACCCAGACCGCCAGCUAAGGUCCCAAAGUCAUGGUUAAGUGGGAAACGAUGUGGGAAGGCCCAGACAGCCAGGAUGUUGGCUUAGAAGCAGCCAUCAUUUAAAGAAAGCGUAAUAGCUCACUGGUCGAGUCGGCCUGCGCGGAAGAUGUAACGGGGCUAAACCAUGCACCGAAGCUGCGGCAGCGAACGUAUCACCCAAGACAACUUUACGGAGUUGACGAUUGACGGAGCGAAGCGACGUCAAAGCGUUCAUUAAAGUCGAGUUGGCUUAGGGAUACGUUCGUUGGGUAGGGGAGCGUUCUGUAAGCCUGUGAAGGUGUGUCGUGAGGCAUGCUGGAGGUAUCAGAAGUGCGAAUGCUGACAUAAGUAACGAUAAAGCGGGUGAAAAGCCCGCUCGCCGGAAGACCAAGGGUUCCUGUCCAACGUUAAUCGGGGCAGGGUGAGUCGACCCCUAAGGCGAGGCCGAAAGGCGUAGUCGAUGGGAAACGGGUUAAUAUUCCCGUACUUGGUGUUACUGCGAAGGGGGGACGGAGAAGGCUAUGUUGGCCGGGCGACGGUUGUCCCGGUUUAAGGGUGUAGGUGUGUGUUCCAGGUAAAUCCGGUUCACUUUAACACUGAGGCGUGACGACGAGGCACUACGGUGCUGAAGCAACAAAUGCCCUGCUUCCAGGAAAAGCCUCUA
RNAcentral lists this ribosomal RNA (998 nucleotides) under Salmonella enterica subsp. enterica serovar Typhimurium. RNAcentral describes it as "partial 23S ribosomal RNA". It matches the Rfam family "Bacterial large subunit ribosomal RNA", at positions 711 to 1623 of the family's 2925-position model. The record is from RNAcentral. Lineage: Bacteria; Pseudomonadati; Pseudomonadota; Gammaproteobacteria; Enterobacterales; Enterobacteriaceae.